AGUGAACGCUGGCGGUAGGCCUAACACAUGCAAGUCGAACGGCAGCACAGUAAGAGCUUGCUCUUACGGGUGGCGAGUGGCGGACGGGUGAGGAAUACAUCGGAAUCUACUUUUUCGUGGGGGAUAACGUAGGGAAACUUACCCUAAUACCGCAUACGACCUACGGGUGAAAGCAGGGGAUCUUCGGACCUUGCGCGAUUGAAUGAGCCGAUGUCGGAUUAGCUAGUUGGCGGGGUAAAGGCCCACCAAGGCGACGAUCCGUAGCUGGUCUGAGAGGAUGAUCAGCGACACUGGAACUGAGACACGGUCCAGACUCCUACGGGAGGCAGCAGUGGGGAAUAUUGGACAAUGGGCGCAAGCCUGAUCCAGCCAUACCGCGUGGGUGAAGAAGGCCUUCGGGUUGUAAAGCCCUUUUGUUGGGAAAGAAAAGCAGCAGGUUAAUACCCCGCUGUUCUGACGGUACCCAAAGAAUAAGCACCGGCUAACUUCGUG
This 492-nucleotide ribosomal RNA is filed under the name uncultured bacterium. Its description in RNAcentral is "partial 16S ribosomal RNA". It matches the Rfam family "Bacterial small subunit ribosomal RNA", at positions 29 to 507 of the family's 1533-position model. The record is from RNAcentral.